UGGGGAAUUUUGGACAAUGGGGGAAACCCUGAUCCAGCCAUCCCGCGUGUGCGAUGAAGGCCUUCGGGUUGUAAAGCACUUUUGGCAGGAAAGAAACGUCAUGGGUUAAUACCCAGUGAAACUGACGGUACCUGCAGUAUAAGCACCGGCUAACUACGUGCCAGCAGCCGCGGUAAUACGUAGGGUGCAAGCGUUAAUCGGAAUUACUGGGCGUAAAGCGUGCGCAGGCGGUUCGGAAAGAAAGAUGUGAAAUCCCAGAGCUCAACUUUGGAACUGCAUUUUUAACUACCGAGCUAGAGUGUGUCAGAGGGAGGUGGAAUACCGCGUGUAGCAGUGAAAUGCGUAGAUAGGCGGAGGAACACCGAUGGCGAAGGCAGCCUCCUGGGAUAACACUGACGCUCAUGCACGAAAGCGUGGGGAGCAAACAGG
Molecule: ribosomal RNA, 429 nt
Filed under: Acidobacteriota bacterium
Lineage: Bacteria; Pseudomonadati; Acidobacteriota
Description: Acidobacteria bacterium partial 16S ribosomal RNA
Rfam family: Bacterial small subunit ribosomal RNA
Source: RNAcentral